GAUGAACGCUGGCGGCGUGCCUAAUACAUGCAAGUCGAACGGAAAAUUCUUGGUACUUGUAUCGGGAGUUUUUAGUGGCGAACGGGUGAGUAACGCGUUGGUGACCUACCCCAAAGUGGGGGAUAACAGAUCGAAAGGUCUGCUAAUACCUCAUGUUGUCAUCGUUUUUAGAAAUCGAUGAUUAAAGGAGCAAUCCGCUUUGGGAGGGGCCUGCGUCCCAUCAGCUAGUUGGUAGGGUAAUGGCCUACCAAGGCUUUGACGGGUAAGGGACCUGAGAGGGUGACCCCUCACAAUGGAACUGAAACACGGUCCAUACACCUACGGGUGGCAGCAGUAGGGAAUAUUGCACAAUGGACGAAAGUCUGAUGCAGCAACGCCGCGUGUACGAUGAAGGCCUUCGGGUCGUAAAGUACUUUUCAGGGAGAUGAGAAAGGACAG
This 438-nucleotide ribosomal RNA is filed under the name uncultured Anaerolineaceae bacterium. Its description in RNAcentral is "bacterial SSU rRNA". It matches the Rfam family "Bacterial small subunit ribosomal RNA", at positions 28 to 458 of the family's 1533-position model. Lineage: Bacteria; Bacillati; Chloroflexota; Anaerolineae; Anaerolineales; Anaerolineaceae. The record is from RNAcentral.